UACGGGAGGCAGCAGUGAGGAAUAUUGGUCAAUGGACGAGAGUCUGAACCAGCCAAGUAGCGUGAAGGAUGAAGGUCCUACGGAUUGUAAACUUCUUUUAUAAGGGAAUAAAACCUCCCACGUGUGGGAGCUUGUAUGUACCUUAUGAAUAAGCAUCGGCUAACUCCGUGCCAGCAGCCGCGGUAAUACGGAGGAUGCGAGCGUUAUCCGGAUUUAUUGGGUUUAAAGGGAGCGCAGACGGGUCGUUAAGUCAGCUGUGAAAGUUUGGGGCUCAACCUUAAAAUUGCAGUUGAUACUGGCGUCCUUGAGUGCGGUUGAGGUGUGCGGAAUUCGUGGUGUAGCGGUGAAAUGCUUAGAUAUCACGAAGAACUCCGAUUGCGAAGGCAGCACACUAAGCCGUAACUGACGUUCAUGCUCGAAAGUGUGGGUAUCAAACAGGAUUAGAUACCCUGGUAGUCCACACGGUAAACGAUGGAUACUCGCUGUUGGCGAUAUACAGUCAGCGGCUUAGCGAAAGCGUUAAGUAUCCCACCUGGGGAGUACGCCGGCAACGGUGAAACUCAAAGGAAUUGACGGGGGCCCGCACAAGCGGAG
This 594-nucleotide ribosomal RNA is filed under the name uncultured bacterium. Its description in RNAcentral is "bacterial SSU rRNA". It matches the Rfam family "Bacterial small subunit ribosomal RNA", at positions 340 to 934 of the family's 1533-position model. The record is from RNAcentral.